UCUAAUUUUAAUUUUAUAAUUAAAGUAUUAUUAGUUAAGUUCUUUAAAUUUAAAAAUUUUGGCGGUAUUUUAAUCUAUUCAGAGGAAUCUGUUCUAUAAUUGAUAUUCCACGAUUAAUAAUACUUAUUUUAGAAAUUUAUAUAUCAUUGUAGUUUAAAUAUUUUAUAAGAAUUAAUAUUUAAAAUUUAUAAAUUUAAAAUAAAUCAGAUCAAGGUGUAGUUUAUAAAUAAGAAGAAAUGGAUUACAAUAAAAUUAUUUUUGGAUUAAAUUUUUAAAAAAUUUAUUAAAUUGGAUUUGAAGGUAAUUUUUUUAAUAUAAAAAUGAUUUAGUUCUAAAAUAUGC
Molecule: ribosomal RNA, 342 nt
Filed under: Orthoperus sp. CO959
Lineage: Eukaryota; Metazoa; Arthropoda; Insecta; Coleoptera; Corylophidae
Description: partial 12S ribosomal RNA
Source: RNAcentral